UACAGAGGUCUCAAGCGUUGUUCGGAUUCAUUGGGCGUAAAGGGUGCGCAGGCGGCGUGGUAAGUUGAGUGUGAAAUCUCGGGGCUUAACCCCGAAACUGCACUCAAUACUGCCAUGCUAGAGGAAUGUAGAGGAGAGUGGAAUUCACGGUGUAGCAGUGAAAUGCGUAGAUAUCGUGAGGAAGACCAGUUGCGAAGGCGACUCUCUGGGCAUUUCCUGACGCUCAUGCACGAAGGCUAGGGGAGCAAACGGG
This 253-nucleotide ribosomal RNA is filed under the name uncultured bacterium. Its description in RNAcentral is "partial 16S ribosomal RNA". It matches the Rfam family "Bacterial small subunit ribosomal RNA", at positions 524 to 776 of the family's 1533-position model. The record is from RNAcentral.